Molecule: ribosomal RNA, 570 nt
Filed under: Salmonella enterica
Lineage: Bacteria; Pseudomonadati; Pseudomonadota; Gammaproteobacteria; Enterobacterales; Enterobacteriaceae
Description: bacterial SSU rRNA
Rfam family: Bacterial small subunit ribosomal RNA
Source: RNAcentral
UUUAAUUCGAUGCAACGCGAAGAACCUUACCUGGUCUUGACAUCCACGGAAGGUCUCAGAGAUGAGACUGUGCCUUCGGGAGCCGUGAGACAGGUGCUGCAUGGCUGUCGUCAGCUCGUGUUGUGAAAUGUUGGGUUAAGUCCCGCAACGAGCGCAACCCUUAUCCUUUGUUGCCAGCGGUCCGGCCGGGAACUCAAAGGAGACUGCCAGUGAUAAACUGGAGGAAGGUGGGGAUGACGUCAAGUCAUCAUGGCCCUUACGACCAGGGCUACACACGUGCUACAAUGGCGCAUACAAAGAGAAGCGACCUCGCGAGAGCAAGCGGACCUCAUAAAGUGCGUCGUAGUCCGGAUUGGAGUCUGCAACUCGACUCCAUGAAGUCGGAAUCGCUAGUAAUCGUGGAUCAGAAUGCCACGGUGAAUACGUUCCCGGGCCUUGUACACACCGCCCGUCACACCAUGGGAGUGGGUUGCAAAAGAAGUAGGUAGCUUAACCUUCGGGAGGGCGCUUACCACUUUGUGAUUCAUGACUGGGGUGAAGUCGUAACAAGGUAACCGUAGGGGAACCUGC